GCCUUCGUGGUGAAUUGGUCAGCACGCUUGACGCGUAACCGAGAGGUCCGUGGUUCGAUUCCCGGCGAAGGAG
RNAcentral lists this transfer RNA (73 nucleotides) under Stegodyphus mimosarum. It matches the Rfam family "tRNA". From Rfam's summary of the family: Transfer RNA (tRNA) molecules are approximately 80 nucleotides in length. The record is from Rfam by way of RNAcentral. Lineage: Eukaryota; Metazoa; Arthropoda; Arachnida; Araneae; Eresidae.